ACGAACGCUGGCGGCGUGCUUCACGCAUGCAAGUCGAACGGUGAAGCGCCUUCCUUUUUGGUGGGUGUGGAUGAGUGGCGAACGGGUGAGUAACACGUGAGUAACCUGCCCCCUUCUUCUGGAUAACCGCAUGAAAGUGUGGCUAAUACGGGAUAUUCUGGGUCUGUCGCAUGAUGGGUCUGGGAAAGAUAUUGUUUCGGUGGGGGAUGGGCUCGCGGCCUAUCAGCUUGUUGGUGGGGUGAUGGCCUACCAAGGCGGUGACGGGUAGCCGGCCUGAGAGGGUGGACGGUCACACUGGGACUGAGACACGGCCCAGACUCCUACGGGAGGCAGCAGUGGGGAAUAUUGCACAAUGGGCGCAAGCCUGAUGCAGCGACGCCGCGUGAGGGAUGGAGGCCUUCGGGUUGUGAACCUCUUUCGCCAGUGAAGCAGGCCUGCCUCGUUUGUGGGUGGGUUGACGGUAGCUGGAGAAGAAGCGCCGGCUAACUACGUG
Molecule: ribosomal RNA, 493 nt
Filed under: uncultured bacterium
Lineage: Bacteria
Description: partial 16S ribosomal RNA
Rfam family: Bacterial small subunit ribosomal RNA
Source: RNAcentral